This 670-nucleotide long non-coding RNA is filed under the name Astyanax mexicanus (Mexican tetra). RNAcentral describes it as "lncRNA (ENSAMXG00005002186.1)". Lineage: Eukaryota; Metazoa; Chordata; Actinopteri; Characiformes; Acestrorhamphidae. The record is from RNAcentral.
GGUGGUAAAAGAAUUGGCUAUGUUGGUGUUAUAAUCAUGGUGACCAAUUUUUUUUCUAUAAAAUGAAUUUAAAAUUUCAUACCAAUCCAAAAGUGAAUUAAACUAUUGGUGGAGUUGCACAUUCACAUUUUACUAUUGAGGUAAAUGAUUGUGUACUCUUACUGAGGUAUGAUUUAUACUGUCUCUCUCUCUCUCAGUUGGUCAGUCAUAAAUCUCAUCCAUAUUCAGGACAGGUGUGUAUGUGUGUGUGUGUUUGUGUUACUGGUGUCAUUUCCAUCCUGUGUAAUCCCCAAUCCCGCUGUUCCUCUGUGAAAUCCUUUGUCAGUCUGAGCCAGGCCAUGCCACUAGCCAGGAAGCUUCAACACAUUUACCACUUUUAACCACUCUUUUCUUUACCAGGAGUGUGUGUGUACGCGAGGAUGAGUUUGUGUCAGUCCUGGUGCUCCUGUAUGGAUGUGUAAGUGUGAUGGCGGACCUGAAUACAGUUGUAUAGCGGGCAGUGGAUUAAGCUUCAGGUGGCCAUGUCCUCGCGGGUCACACCCCUCGUCCCUCCCAAGAUCCUCUUGGAGGGAGACGAGGUCACCAUUGGCAGCACAGAGGAGAUAACGAACCCGCAGUGCUGUGGUGCUCUAUUUAAUGUCAACAACAGCAACAACAACGAAGAGUAAGU